GGUGAAAAGCACCCCGGAAGGGGAGUGAAAUAGAACCUGAAACCGUGUGCUUACAAGUAGUCAGAGCCCGUUAAUGGGUGAUGGCGUGCCUUUUGUAGAAUGAACCGGCGAGUUACGAUUUGAUGCAAGGUUAAGCAGUAAAUGUGGAGCCGUAGCGAAAGCGAGUCUGAAUAGGGCGUUUAGUAUUUGGUCGUAGACCCGAAACCAGGUGAUCUACCCUUGGUCAGGUUGAAGUUCAGGUAACACUGAAUGGAGGACCGAACCGACUUACGUUGAAAAGUGAGCGGAUGAACUGAGGGUAGCGGAGAAAUUCCAAUCGAACCUGGAGAUAGCUGGUUCUCUCCGAAAUAGCUUUAGGGCUAGCCUCAAGUGAUGAUUAUUGGAGGUAGAGCACUGUUUGG
This 401-nucleotide ribosomal RNA is filed under the name Staphylococcus aureus. Its description in RNAcentral is "partial 23S ribosomal RNA". It matches the Rfam family "Bacterial large subunit ribosomal RNA", at positions 513 to 917 of the family's 2925-position model. Lineage: Bacteria; Bacillati; Bacillota; Bacilli; Caryophanales; Staphylococcaceae. The record is from RNAcentral.